Molecule: ribosomal RNA, 649 nt
Filed under: uncultured Prevotellaceae bacterium
Lineage: Bacteria; Pseudomonadati; Bacteroidota; Bacteroidia; Bacteroidales; Prevotellaceae
Description: bacterial SSU rRNA
Rfam family: Bacterial small subunit ribosomal RNA
Source: RNAcentral
CUAAGGGAUAACCUGCCGAAAGGCAGACUAAUACCUUAUGGUCUUCACUGACGGCAUCAGAUGUGAAGUAAAGAUUUAUCGGUUAUGGAUGGGGAUGCGUCUGAUUAGCUUGUUGGCGGGGUAACGGCCCACCAAGGCAACGAUCAGUAGGGGUUCUGAGAGGAAGGUCCCCCACAUUGGAACUGAGACACGGUCCAAACUCCUACGGGAGGCAGCAGUGAGGAAUAUUGGUCAAUGGGCGAGAGCCUGAACCAGCCAAGUAGCGUGCAGGAUGACGGCCCUAUGGGUUGUAAACUGCUUUUGUAUGGGGAUAAAGUCAGUCACGUGUGAUUGUUUGCAGGUACCAUACGAAUAAGGACCGGCUAAUUCCGUGCCAGCAGCCGCGGUAAUACGGAAGGUCCGGGCGUUAUCCGGAUUUAUUGGGUUUAAAGGGAGCGUAGGCUGGAGAUUAAGUGUGUUGUGAAAUGUAGACGCUCAACGUCUGACUUGCAGCGCAUACUGGUUUCCUUGAGUACGCACAACGUUGGCGGAAUUCGUCGUGUAGCGGUGAAAUGCUUAGAUAUGACGAAGAACUCCGAUUGCGAAGGCAGCUGACGGGAGCGCAACUGACGCUGAAGCUCGAAGGUGCGGGUAUCGAACAGGAUUAGAU